CAGAGAGGGGUUCUGGAAUCAGAGUGUCUCCCAUGUACAAUAUGUGUGAAGUUGGGCAAAUUAUUUAAUUUUUCUGAGCCUCAGGAUUUUGUGUGUGUGUGUGUGGUACUGGAGAUUGAACCCAGGGCCUCCCACAUGCUAGGCAUGUGCUCUACUACUGAGCUACUUCAUGAGCUCUAAGUCUCAGUUUCUCCAUUUCAAAUUAAGGUGGGAGGGCUGUAGCUACAGUUCAGUGGUAGAGCACUUGCCUAACAUGCACAGGGCCCUGAGUUUGAUCCCUAGCAACACACACACACACACACACACACACACACACACACACAUAAGUAGGAGUACUUAUCUCAUUGGUUUGAUGUAGGGAAUCACUGGAUUAAUGCAUAUAAAAUGCAUUCACAAGAUGGUCCCUGGCAUAUAGGAAAGGCUCAGUACAUGGUAUCUGUAUAAUGUGUAUUUGCAUCAUAUUGGAGUCAGAUGGAAAGUAAAAGUAGUAAAUAAAAAUACAAGCAAGGCCUUGAGGAGGUGGCGGCACAUGGUACAUAUAUUUGUUAGAUUCUGACUCAACUUAAAAGAGUGACAGAACCAAAAUAACAGAGACAUUAAAAUACAAGUUUAUUUCUGCCAGCCAUGGUGACAGGAUCCCAGUGACUCUUGGAGGCUGAGGUAAGAGGAUUACAAGUUCAGCAACUUAGUAGGACUCUGUCUCAAAAAAAAAAAAAGUGCUAGGGAUGUAUAGCUCAGUGGUAAAGUGCCCCUGGCUUCAACUCCCAGUACCCCCAUUCAAAACAAAUUUAUCUGCAUAAUAAACAAAAUCAGGCACAGCCCAGAGUUGAAAUCAUCAUUUACUUGGAUUCCUCCCAUCUUGCUCCACUAUUUCUCAAAGUGAGAUUUCCAUUCCAUAGUUGAGAGGACUGUAGCAGCAGCAGCCAUCAUGUCUGCACCCCAGUUAGCCAAAGAGAAGAAAGGCAAAGAAAAGGACAGAACUCCUCUCUUAAAAACACGUGUUCGAAGCUGCACACAACACUGCUGCUCACCUUUCACUGGCCAGAGGGCAAUCCCACAGACACCUCAAGCUGCACAGGAUGACUGGGAAAUAAAAUCUUUAUUUUGGGUAAGCAUAUUCUCAACUAAAAAAGGGGACUUUGCUGGAUGUGGAGGCAUGUGCUGAUGAUCCCAGCUACUUAGAAGGCUGAGGCAGGAGGAUAGCCAAUUCUAGGCCAGCUUGAGCUACUUACUGAGAUCCUGUCUCAAAAUAAAAUUUUAAAAAAGACUGGGGAUAUAGCUCAGUGACAGAGUGCUCCUAGGUUCAAUCCCUAGUACUGCUGCU
This 1324-nucleotide long non-coding RNA is filed under the name Marmota monax (woodchuck). Lineage: Eukaryota; Metazoa; Chordata; Mammalia; Rodentia; Sciuridae. The record is from RNAcentral.